RNAcentral lists this ribosomal RNA (776 nucleotides) under uncultured Pseudomonadota bacterium. RNAcentral's name for it is "bacterial SSU rRNA". It matches the Rfam family "Bacterial small subunit ribosomal RNA", at positions 65 to 819 of the family's 1533-position model. The record is from RNAcentral. Lineage: Bacteria; Pseudomonadati; Pseudomonadota.
AACGCGAAAGGGACUUCGGUCCUGAGUAAAGUGGCGCACGGGUGAGUAACGCGUGGAUAAUCUGCCCAAUGAUCCGGGAUAACAUUCCGAAAGGGGUGCUAAUACCGGGUAAGACCACGGAGUCUUUGGAUUCUGCGGUAAAAGGUGGGGACCUUCGGGCCUACCGUCAUUGGAUGAGUCCGCGUACCAUUAGCUAGUUGGUAGGGUAAAGGCCUACCAAGGCGACGAUGGUUAGCUGGUCUGAGAGGAUGAUCAGCCACACUGGAACUGAGACACGGUCCAGACUCCUACGGGAGGCAGCAGUGGGGAAUUUUGCGCAAUGGGGGAAACCCUGACGCAGCAACGCCGCGUGAGUGAUGAAGGCCUUCGGGUCGUAAAGCUCUGACAGAGGGGAAGAAAUGCAGUCAUGCUAAUAUCAUGGUUGCUUGACGGUACCCUCAAAGGAAGCACCGGCUAACUCCGUGCCAGCAGCCGCGGUAAUACGGAGGGUGCAAGCGUUGUUCGGAAUUAUUGGGCGUAAAGCGCGUGUAGGCGGCUUGUCAAGUCCGAUGUGAAAGCCCCGGGCUCAACCCGGGAAGUGCAUUGGAAACUGGCAGACUUGAAUACGGGAGAGGGUAGUGGAAUUCCUAGUGUAGGAGUGAAAUCCGUAGAUAUUAGGAGGAACACCGGUGGCGAAGGCGGCUACCUGGACCGGUCCUGACGCUGAGGCGCGAAAGCGUGGGGAGCAAACGGGAUUAGAUACCCCGGUAGUCCACGCCGUAAACGAUGGGCACUUG